ACGUGACCUUUAUAUAUAUAUAUAUAUAUGCUAAAUGUUUAAGUGUUAUUUUCUUUCAAUUGUUUAAUCACUUCACACAUUCAGCUCUCUCUAUCUCCAACCUUUAUCUUCCUUUCCAAAACCCUCCUUCUCCCUUCCAAAACCCUAGCUCCAUUAUCACUCACCCAAAGUUACUUAUCCCACUAUAUAUCUUUCAGCUCAUCAUACUCCAUUUUCAACCAAUUCAGAAAACCCUUUCCUAAACCCUAACCUUCAAAAUCUCCAUGGCUCCUAGGGGAAGAAGAAAA
This 287-nucleotide long non-coding RNA is filed under the name Lathyrus oleraceus (garden pea). RNAcentral's name for it is "Pisum sativum (pea) long non-coding RNA (PSAT_LNC020016)". Lineage: Eukaryota; Viridiplantae; Streptophyta; Magnoliopsida; Fabales; Fabaceae. The record is from RNAcentral.